This 440-nucleotide ribosomal RNA is filed under the name Stutzerimonas stutzeri. RNAcentral describes it as "bacterial SSU rRNA". It matches the Rfam family "Bacterial small subunit ribosomal RNA", at positions 31 to 471 of the family's 1533-position model. The record is from RNAcentral. Lineage: Bacteria; Pseudomonadati; Pseudomonadota; Gammaproteobacteria; Pseudomonadales; Pseudomonadaceae.
GAACGCUGGCGGCAGGCCUAACACAUGCAAGUCGAGCGGAUGAGUGGAGCUUGCUCCAUGAUUCAGCGGCGGACGGGUGAGUAAUGCCUAGGAAUCUGCCUGGUAGUGGGGGACAACGUUUCGAAAGGAACGCUAAUACCGCAUACGUCCUACGGGAGAAAGUGGGGGAUCUUCGGACCUCACGCUAUCAGAUGAGCCUAGGUCGGAUUAGCUAGUUGGUGAGGUAAAGGCUCACCAAGGCGACGAUCCGUAACUGGUCUGAGAGGAUGAUCAGUCACACUGGAACUGAGACACGGUCCAGACUCCUACGGGAGGCAGCAGUGGGGAAUAUUGGACAAUGGGCGAAAGCCUGAUCCAGCCAUGCCGCGUGUGUGAAGAAGGUCUUCGGAUUGUAAAGCACUUUAAGUUGGGAGGAAGGGCAGUAAGUUAAUACCUUGCUG